This 493-nucleotide ribosomal RNA is filed under the name uncultured bacterium. Its description in RNAcentral is "partial 16S ribosomal RNA". It matches the Rfam family "Bacterial small subunit ribosomal RNA", at positions 30 to 523 of the family's 1533-position model. The record is from RNAcentral.
AUUGAACGCUGGCGGCAUGCUUUUCACAUGCAAGUCGAACGGUAACAGGUUAAGCUGACGAGUGGCGAACGGGUGAGUAAUGCAUCGGAACGUGCCCGAUCGUGGGGGAUAACGCAGCGAAAGCUGCGCUAAUACCGCAUACGAUCUGAGGAUGAAAGCGGGGGACCGUAAGGUCUCGCGCGAUCGGAGCGGCCGAUGUCAGAUUAGGUAGUUGGUGGGGUAAAGGCUCACCAAGCCGACGACCUGUAGCUGGUCUGAGAGGACGACCAGCCACACUGGGACUGAGACACGGCCCAGACUCCUACGGGAGGCAGCAGUGGGGAAUUUUGGACAAUGGGCGCAAGCCUGAUCCAGCAAUGCCGCGUGCAGGAAGAAGGCCUUCGGGUUGUAAACUGCUUUUGUACGGAGCGAAAAGGCUCUCUCUAAUACAGGGGGCUCAUGACGGUACCGUAAGAAUAAGCACCGGCUAACUACGUGCCAGCAGCCGCAGUAA